CCUACGGGAGGCAGCAGUGAGGAAUAUUGGUCAAUGGGCGCGAGCCUGAACCAGCCAAGCAGCGUGAAGGAUGACUGCCCUACGGGUUGUAAACCUCUUUUAUAAAGGAAUAAAGUGAGGCACGUGUGCCUUUUUGUAUGUACUUUAUGAAUAAGGAUCGGCUAAAUCCGUGCCAGCAGCCGCGGUAAUACGGAGGAUCCGAGCGUUAUCCGGAUUUAUUGGGUUUAAAGGGAGCGUAGAUGGGUUGUUAAGUCAGUUGUGAAAGUGGGCGGCUCAACCGUAAUAGUGCAGUUGAUACUGGCAGACUUGAGUACAGUUGAGGUAGGCGGAAUUCGAGGUGUAGCGGUGAAAUGCGUAGAUAUAACGAAGAACUCCGAUUGCGAAGGCAGCUUACUAAACUGCCACUGACAUUGAUGCUCGAAAGUGUGGGUAUCAAACAGGAUUAGAUACCCUAGUAGUC
This 460-nucleotide ribosomal RNA is filed under the name uncultured bacterium. RNAcentral's name for it is "partial 16S ribosomal RNA". It matches the Rfam family "Bacterial small subunit ribosomal RNA", at positions 338 to 795 of the family's 1533-position model. The record is from RNAcentral.